This 490-nucleotide ribosomal RNA is filed under the name uncultured bacterium. RNAcentral's name for it is "partial 16S ribosomal RNA". It matches the Rfam family "Bacterial small subunit ribosomal RNA", at positions 30 to 507 of the family's 1533-position model. The record is from RNAcentral.
AUUGGACGCUGGCGGCAUGCCUUACACAUGCAAGUCGAACGGCAGCAUGAUCUAGCUUGCUAGAUUGAUGGCGAGUGGCGAACGGGUGAGUAAUACAUCGGAACGUGCCCUGUAGUGGGGGAUAACUAGUCGAAAGAUUAGCUAAUACCGCAUACGACCUGAGGGUGAAAGUGGGGGACCGCAAGGCCUCAUGCUAUAGGAGCGGCCGAUGUCUGAUUAGCUAGUUGGUGAGGUAAAGGCUCACCAAGGCGACGAUCAGUAGCUGGUCUGAGAGGACGAUCAGCCACACUGGGACUGAGACACGGCCCAGACUCCUACGGGAGGCAGCAGUGGGGAAUUUUGGACAAUGGGCGAAAGCCUGAUCCAGCAAUGCCGCGUGUGUGAAGAAGGCCUUCGGGUUGUAAAGCACUUUUGUCCGGAAAGAAAUGGCUCUGGUUAAUACCUGGGGUCGAUGACGGUACCGGAAGAAUAAGGACCGGCUAACUACGUG